AUGAAGGGUGCUCACCGCUUCGGGAUCAAGGGCAAACUAGCUCCUCGCUAUAUUGGCCCAUUCACUAUUCUCGAAAGGCGUGGAAAAGUGGCAUACCAACUGGAACUACCGCCGAACCUUUCUCAGGUUCACGAUGUGUUCCAUGUGUCACAGCUCCGCCGAUGCUUCAAGGAUCCAAUCCGAGCUGUGGAUCAUGAAGUGCUCGAAUUGCAGCAAGACCUCUCCUAUAAGGAGCAUCCGGUCCGCAUUCUCGACCAAGCUGAACGCCGCACACGUCAGAAGGCGAUCAAGUUUCUCAAAGUCCAGUGGUCGCACCAUUCUGAAGAUGAGGCCACUUGGGAACGAGAGGAUCGUCUGCGCGAAGAAUACCCCGCACUGUUUCCUUCUACCUCCUAA
Molecule: ribosomal RNA, 396 nt
Filed under: Triticum aestivum (bread wheat)
Lineage: Eukaryota; Viridiplantae; Streptophyta; Magnoliopsida; Poales; Poaceae
Description: partial small subunit ribosomal RNA
Source: RNAcentral